AUGCCUAUUCGAGCGUCAUUACAACCCUUAAGCCUUGUAGCUUAG
This 45-nucleotide ribosomal RNA is filed under the name Annulohypoxylon stygium. RNAcentral's name for it is "5.8S ribosomal RNA". The record is from RNAcentral. Lineage: Eukaryota; Fungi; Ascomycota; Sordariomycetes; Xylariales; Hypoxylaceae.